This 253-nucleotide ribosomal RNA is filed under the name uncultured bacterium. RNAcentral's name for it is "partial 16S ribosomal RNA". It matches the Rfam family "Bacterial small subunit ribosomal RNA", at positions 524 to 776 of the family's 1533-position model. The record is from RNAcentral.
UACGGGGGGGGCAAGCGUUGUUCGGAAUUACUGGGCGUAAAGGGCGCGUAGGCGGCCUGUUAAGUCGAACGUGAAAUCCCCAGGCUCAACCUGGGAACUGCGUCCGAUACUGGCAGGCUUGAAUCCGGGAGAGGGAUGCGGAAUUCCAGGUGUAGCGGUGAAAUGCGUAGAUAUCUGGAGGAACACCGGUGGCGAAGGCGGGUCUCUGGGCCGAAACUGACGCUGAGGAGCGAAAGCGUGGGGAGCAAACAGG